GAGGCUAUGCUGGAGAUGAGGUAAUGGUCUUGUGAUGGUGGAGUGACGUCAUUUUCCAGCCAGUGAGAGGUCAUGUGGUAGUUUUUGUUUACAGGGUAUAAAAGGAGAACACCACCCUAUGACGUGGGCAGUUCGUGGCUGAAUUCACCACUGACUCCACGUUGCUGCGUAUUCUGAUAUUAUGACACAAUUUUGUUUAAAAGUGGAGUUUUACUUUGUUUUAAGUCUCAAAGGUUAUUGCCGGCAGUUUCGCUAUAAUACUGCCAGUUUGGUCAGUGGAGAGUGAAGAUUUUAAAGGAGUUCGGAAAUCCCAAAGGAUUGGGAAAGUUAAUGUCGAUGGUGAAACAGAUUCGACCUUUGUUUAGUCUUCACACGAGGAAUUAGUAACGAGUAUCCAUGAUAACUCCUGUUCAGCCGGAAGAGCAGAGGGUUGGACAAAGUUUCAUCAAAGAAAGUCUCAAAGGUUAUUGCCGGAAGUUUCGCUAUAAUACUGCCAGUUUGGUCAGCAGAGAGCGAAGAUUUUAAAGGAGUUCGGAAAUCCCUAAGGAUUGGGAAAGUUAAUGUCAACUGUGAAACAUUCGAUCUUUGUUUAAUCUUCGCACGAGGAAUUAGUAACCAGUAUCCAUUAUAACUCCUGUUCUGCCAGAAGAGCAGAGGGUUGGACAAAGUUUCAUCAAAGAAAGGUCAGUGCCUUUAAGCCGUUUUAUUUCCUUUGAUCGUAAAUCCUCGGGGAAUAACAUACUUUGGCUGGGAUCAGCAGUAACUCCACAAAAGAGGGUUUAAGUCAUUUCAAGAAGUUUCUCCUUUAACAGACUGUGUAGGCAUUUGGACUUUCGCAUUAUUACUUCUCGGAACUGUUUUCGCAUUCUCGCUUUAAGAACUGUUUUCGCUUUCUCGCUUUAAGUACUGUUCAAGCUGCCGUAUCGCAGCUGACUUCCGGUUAAGUUAAUCGUUAAUGUUUACUUUUGGGUUUUUUUACAGUGCUUAAUAAAUGUUUUAUUUGUUAUAAAGAAAACCUGUCUCAAAUCAUAUAUUCAUUGUUGCUGAUUUGUAACACUACAUCCAAUUGUUUUUAUUGCCACAAAUCCAACUGACAAUUUGAAACAGUUAUACAGGUCACCCUGUUCCACAUUCGGAGUGCAAAAUUACAAGAACGUGAUGAUUGAAGUACAUGUUUCACACGCCAUAAGCUUAAACUGCCGUACUUUGAAAUUCUUGGCCUUCUCCUAUCAGAGUUGGGUUAAAUGAGUUUUUUUAUUUACUUUUACUUAGGGGUUGGAGUUGUAUUCCAAUGCUAAUAAAAUCCAAUAUUUGGACAUAAAUAGCUUUCUCAUGUGGAUAGAAUACACCAUGAGGUUACUAAACAGCAUAAAAGCCCCUAGUUUGCAGGAAAAAACUAGCAUGAAUAGAAGAUUGGCUGACUGGCAAGAGGUAAAGUGUGGAAAUGAAGGGGGCCUUUUCUGGUUGGCUGCCGAUGACUAGUUGUGUUCCUCAGUGGUCAGUGUUGGGACUGCUUCUUUACACAUUAUAUCUCAAUGAUUUGCAUGAUGGAAUUCUUGGCAGCAAACGUAACAGAGCAGCUCUCUUGGACCACCAACACACCCUUGAUCAUUGGGAAGGCUCAGCAGUGCCUAUCAGAAUCUGAAUCAGGAUUAAUAUCACCAGCAUGUGUGGUGAAAUUUGUUGACUUUGCAGCUACAGUACAAUGCAAUACAUAACAGCAUGGAGAGAAAAAACUGUGACUUGCAGUAUAUAUAUAUAACAUAGUUAAAUAAGUAGAGUGAAAUAAAGAAAGUGAGGUGGUGUUCAUGGGUUCAAUGUCCAUUCAGAAAUCAUAUGGCAGGGAAGAGCCUGUUCCUGAAUCAUUGACUGUAUGCCUUCAGGCUUCUAUACCUCCUUCCUAAUGGUAGCUUUGAGAAGAGGGUAUGUCCUGGGUGAUGGGGGUCCUUAAUGAAGGAUGCCUCCCUCCUUGAAGAUGUCCUGGAUACUUUGGAGGCCAGUGCCCAUGACAGAGCUGACUAAUUUAACAAGUCUCUGUAGCUUCCUUCGAUCCUGUGCAGAAGACCCCCUCAUACCAUUCGGUGAUGCAAUCAGUUAGAAUGCUCUCCAUGGUACAUCUGUAUAAAGUUUCAAUUGUUGCCUAUGUCAUCUUAGGUGUUUGAAAAGAGCAAAUCUGCCCCAAAAGCUGCUGGCAAACUUUUACAAUUGUGCCAUUGACAGCUUACUGACCAAAUGCAUGGCAGUACGGUACACAAGCUGCAAUAUGGUCAAUGAGUGAUCAGGACUACACAGAACAUCACUAGGACACAACUACCAGAUUUGGAAACCAUCUACAACUCACACUGUCUACAGCGGGGUUGUAACAUCAUGAUGGAUUCAUCCUACCCCAGUAAUCACCUGUUCAAUUUCCUACCAUCCAGAAGGAAAUACAGAAACAUCUCUGAUCAGAUAUCAGCCUGAAAAAAAUGUGCAAUAUUAUGGCUUAAGUAGGGCAGCUAUUUUCCUUUGAUUUCAGAGCUCUUCAUUUUUUAAAAAUUUUAGUUCAAUUCUUGAUGCAAUUUAAAAUGUAAUCAUUGUAUUUUAUAACAUGGACAUGUGCAACACUUGAAUGGGGCAGCCAUGGUUUGUUUUAAGUUUAGUGUUGUUUGUUUUCAAUUUAGUUGUAACUUAAAAUGACAUUCUAAAUAACUCAGACAUUAUUUUAAAUUUAGUCAUUGGGUUUUUAGUAGUUAUAUUGCCAGUAUUGCAACCUUGUUGCCUGAGUGAUGACAAUAAGUCUCUAAAAUCAAAAUCAAAAAUCAAAUGGAAUUGGUGGCUUUGGGGCCAAGUUUGUGGAUGAUAUGAAGAUAGAUGGAGUGGCAGAUAGUGUUGAGGAACAAGGAAGUCUGGAGAUAUGGACAAAGUAGGGGAAUGGGUAAAGAAGUGGCAUAUGGAAUAUAGUUUAGGAAAGUGUAUGGCCACAUAGUUUGGUGGAAGGAAUAAAAUCUGACUGUUUUCUAAAUGGGGAGAAAAUUCAGAAAUUAAAGUUGCAAAGGGACUUUGAAGUCUUUGUGCAGGAUUCCCUAAAAGUUAAUUUGCAGGUUGAGUCAGUGGUAAGGAAGGCAAAUACAAUGUUAGCAGUGGUUUUGAGAGGAUUAGGAUAUAAAUGCAAGGAUGUAAUGCUGAGGCUUUACAAGGCAUUGGUCAGACCACACUUGGGAGUAUAAUGGCAGUUUCGAACCCCUGAUCUAAGAAAGGAUGUGGUGGCACUGGAGAGGAUCUAGUUGAGUUUCAUGAGAAUGAUCCUGGAAAUGAAAAGGUUAAUGUAUGAGGAGUGUUUGAUUGCUCUGGAUUUGUACUCACUGGUGCUUAGAACAAUGAGGGAGGACCUCAUUGAAGCCUAUUGAAUAUUUAAAGACCAAGAUAGCGUGGAAGUGAAAAGUAUGUUGGUGUGACUAGGACGAGAGAGCACAGCCUCUGAACAGAAUAAUGUUCUUUUAGAUUAGAGGUGAGGAGGAAUUUCUUUAGCCAGAGGGUGCUGAAUCUGUGGAAUUUAUUUCUACAGAUGGCUGUGGAAGCCAAUUCAUUAGUUGAUUCUUAUUAAGUAAGGUGUCAAAGUUUACAGGGAAAAGGCAGAAUAAAGGGGGUGAGAGAGAUAAUCAAUCAGCGAUUAUGUAAAGGUGGAGCAGACUCGAUGGGCUGAAUGUCCUAAUCACACCCCUGUGUUUUAUGGUCUUAAUAUGCUUCAGGUAAGAUGGCAGCAUGCUCGGAUGCAGCAGCUAAUACAGGGCCAACCAAGGGAGAUAUUGACUUUUUAAAAUGUUUUUUUAAUGACCUCAAGAGCCUGCUGGACAUUAAUAACUUGAAGUAUUGCAGGUCUACAUCGUCAGCAGGUUUCUCGUUAGUGGAGAAACUGAAGGAGCUGGACUUGGUGUGGGUUGUGCUGCUGCCUGCAUCAGUGGGGUGUUGGAGAGGGUGUGUGAAGGAGAUGCGCAGUCCAACAGCAAAUGAUCAUCUUAGUGGUCACUUUUCUUGUGAUUGAAUGACCAUGUUGGACAUUGUUAAUCUGGAAUGCCCAAGUCUACUUCACUUGUUUAUUCGUGAAUGACGGGGAUGGUUGGCAGCAGAGCUCCAUGGCUUUGGUCAUAGCCAGGACUAUGCCUCAAACCACGGUGUUAUCUGUAUGCAGCCACCCAGUAGAGAGGCAUCAGAGUUGGUGUGCCUGAGCCAGUGUGGUCAUUCAGCCAUAGACAAGAUGUAUUGUGUUCGACUUCAGACUGCUGCAACUUUCAUGGACUUUGGUACUUGGACUACAUUUCUUUUUGUGUGACUGUAUUUUCCUGCUGUUUUAUAUGUGCUACGUGUGCCUUGUGAUGUGUGUGACUGUUGGUACUGUGUUUUGCACCUUGGCCCCAGAGUAACACUGUUUCAUUUGGCUGUAUUCAUGUACAGUUGAAUGUCAAUUAAACUUGAACUUGAAAGUUAAUGCAAGGAUUUUCCAAAUCUUCUAUAAAACAUAUUCAAACAUCAGCAAAAUUCCAGGGGAGAAAAAGGAUAUCAACAUAUUAGCUCUGUUGCAUAACAGUGCAUGUACGGAAUGUCACAAGAUUUCUACAAUAAAUUCCAAAAAAUUGUUUCAAGUGUUUUAUAUUGGUUGAUGCAAAUAACUAUAUUUGUAUAGCUUAACUUUGGAAAACACAAUGGAAACUAAUAUAAAUAGUUAUUAUCUCUGAGGAUUUUACAGGGAUGAACAGUUCAUGCUGGAUAAUCUCAUCCAAGGAACUAAUACAGUAAGUUCAGCAAUGACUCAAAAUUAUUUGUAGCAAGAGUAUAUUCAUGCAAAACUGCUAGUGAGUAUUUUUCACAUAAAAGGUACUAAACUCCCAUGCUAAAUAGCAUGUCCUAUAAAAUGUAUGUGUUCUAGAUUUCUAAUAUAUACAUAAAUUUUUACAAUGGCUAUAUCAUGUGUGGGCACUGAAGUAUUAAUCUUUUGACUAACAUUCUGCCAUCUAAUAAUUGUUCUACGGAAGUUGUAGUUUGCUUCAUUCAGAUGAUAGGGUUAAUGUCAAACUAAUGUUGCUUCUAUCUUACUUGGCACAAAUCAAAGGCACUCCAAUUCACUUUACAGUAAUGCAAACCAUGGAUUAAUACAAACAAAAUUAGUUAGCCCUGUAAUAUUGAAAGUUUCCUUGACUGUAAUUUCAGUUGAACAAUUAUUAGAUUGUAGCAUACACACAAAAUUAAUCGGCACCGAUGUAUUCAAAUAGAGUCAUUCAUGAGUUGCACACAUUGUCAUGAAAUGACAGUCCUCUUUCAGGAAGGAGUGGCAGAAAACUCAAAUUUUCUAAAUGUUUUUGGAAGACUCUUAUUUUAUUAUUCAAAUGUGUUUUGCAUCUGCAUCUCAUUAAUUUUGGUUUAUUUGUGUGCAAAUCCCAAAACCACCUCUGUAAUUCCUAAUUGAUGAUGCUCAUAUUUAUCUGAAUGCCUAAGAGUUGAACGUCACACAUUCAGUAGGAAUACUCACACUUACAGUAGAAGAUCCCACAGACACAUGAAUUUGACAGAUUUAUAAAAGAUUAAUAAAUCAGCUGCAUUAACUUUGAUUUUGACCAAAGUCUGAAACACAAAUUUUGCAGGCAGGAUGAACUUAAGAGGUAUUAAAUACAAAAAUAUGAUUAUAACAUUACAGCAACCAGCAUUACAUCACAAUUAAACUAGAUCACAAUCAUGAUAUCAGCUUUAAUCUAUUUACAUCUUUUUACCUCAAAAAUUACUCUGUAAAGAUUUCUUGAACCAUAUUUCAUUUCAUUUCCGGUUAGUGUUUUUAAGUCUGUAUAGUGUGAAUUCUGUAAGUCACAGUGACUUAGCAAAAAUGUUGCUGGACUGCAGGAUGCUUGACAUUCUGCAUAUAUGCUGGAACUGAGCAACUCUCAAAGAAAAUUAACAUAAAUAGCCUUUACAAAAUGUUUUAAAACCUGUUUUUUGUUGUUGCAUAAUACAUACAAUGUAUCUCAUUUUAAAACCAGCAUACUAAAGUUCAGCAAAAAUAUCUGUUCACUGAAAGUUUGAUCCCAUAAUCAACUGACUCCUGUAUAUGCAAAGUUACAAUAGAAUCACAUGUGGCUUCUUACGGCACUAUUUUAAAAAAAAAUCAGAUUACUUUCUCCAUUUUAUGCUGGUUUCUGCCUCGCAGAAAGCUAAAACUAUCAUGUUCUGCACACCUAGGCAUCUAGCUUAGGUCCAAGUUCGCGAACCUGGUUAAAACUCCCAAAUCUCUUUUACAUUGAAGAGUUUUCUUAUGUUGGCCAUUACAGAUCUCUCCCAAGAAUCCCCAAUGUUCCCAUACAUCCCCCUUUCUCCUGAAGGUGCUGGCUAAGUUAAUUACAAAGGUUUGAAAUAUCAGCCCUCUGAAAUAUCAAGCUCAAGUGGCUUUUUGGUUCAUGUGAAUUUUGACAUAUAUAGCUAAUUGUAGAGUUCUACU
This is a long non-coding RNA of Hypanus sabinus (Atlantic stingray), 6460 nucleotides long. RefSeq lists it as uncharacterized. The transcript has 2 exons. The record is from RefSeq and is a predicted model, not a curated record. NCBI's taxonomy places the organism in Eukaryota, Metazoa, Chordata, Chondrichthyes, Myliobatiformes, Dasyatidae.